This 1062-nucleotide long non-coding RNA is filed under the name Spirodela polyrhiza (greater duckweed). Its description in RNAcentral is "long non-coding RNA (SPOL_LNC001337)". The record is from RNAcentral. Lineage: Eukaryota; Viridiplantae; Streptophyta; Magnoliopsida; Alismatales; Araceae.
UCUUGACGUCGAGCCCACCGACGUCGUCCUGCGCGAGGACGGUCAAGGCUCCGGCGUCCUUGUGGCGGCCGACGCCGAGGGCGAGGUGAGGAGCAGGGCAGGGAGGGUAGUAGUUGAGCCGGAUGAAGCUCGACGGCGACCCGCCUUCGAAGAAUCCGUUCAGCCGCUUUGCCGGCAGGCCCAGCGUGAGGGAGAUGAGCUCCAGCAGCUUGAAGGCCAGCUCCUGCACCGCCCUGCCGUAUCUCUGCCCUGCAUCUCUGCGCCACGCAGCAAGGAUUUCAUGUCAAAACCACACCCACAGAGCGCUGCAAGGUCGGGGGAGCAGGACCUCAGCUGGGGAGGGUACUCCGGCCACUGGUUCUUCCAAAUCUCCGGCCCUUGAACGCCGGCCGCCAUGACCGUCGCCUCGCCGGGAACCAUGAAGUCCAGAACCUCUUUCCAGUCCCGGACGUUCUUGGUGUGCUCCCCUUCGUAGUACCCCCAGGCAUUCACCGCGUCCCGCCGCACCCGGGCCUUCUCCUCGGCGGGCAACGCGAAGAACUCCCUCGCCGCGGCCUGCAGGUCCUCCAGGAGCUCCGGGGGCACGCCAUGGUUCACCACCUGGAGGAAGCCCCAGUCCCUGCAGGCGGCCUCCACCUGGUCCAGGAGACCAGACAAGGCCCCGUCGCUCUGGGCGGCCAGCGGGGAGAGGUCGAUCAGCGGUAUUCCCCCGGCCUCGUCGACGGUGGGCUUCGCCCUGUGCUCCGGAUCCUGGAAGAAGGCUUCGUCCAUCUCCAAACCCAUGAUGCCGCCUCUCCCACCAGCGAGCUGCAACAGCCGAUCCCAAGACGGGGAGGAAGACGAUCGAGACGGCGAUCGCGGGUAGUACAACGCACCUAGACCCCUCUCCGGGCUUCACGACAAAAAAGGGACGUGGCGGCCACCAAUCAUGCGCCGAGGUCGUCAACCACCGCCCGCGGAACUGGACUCAAGAGUUUGAGCGGUCAGGAUCGAAUGCGAGUUGUGACGCCGUCCUCCGCUAUUCUUCUUCUUCUUCUUCUUCACAGAGCUGCUGGAAUCUGG